GAAUCAUAAACAGUCAGAGUUUCAAUUCCUCUGACCUAUAGACAUUAACCAUGGGAAAAGUUACUAUAAAUAAACAAAAGAGAGCAAUAACAACCAAACAGAGGCCAGCCUGAUGCCCCAUGCCUCAGACCAUAAAGAUUGAUGACCUUCACGUACAUUACUUCCAUGACCCAAUUCUGACAUAGCAAAGCAACCCUUGAUUGCAUAAGUUUCAGUGUCCCUCAGCCACUUGUCAUGAUGGAGCUCUGUGCCAAAAAACUUGAUAGCACCACCCCACAAAAAGAAGUGAA
Molecule: unclassified non-coding RNA, 290 nt
Filed under: Hevea brasiliensis (rubber tree)
Lineage: Eukaryota; Viridiplantae; Streptophyta; Magnoliopsida; Malpighiales; Euphorbiaceae
Source: RNAcentral